RNAcentral lists this unclassified non-coding RNA (625 nucleotides) under Hevea brasiliensis (rubber tree). Lineage: Eukaryota; Viridiplantae; Streptophyta; Magnoliopsida; Malpighiales; Euphorbiaceae. The record is from RNAcentral.
GGGGGACAGGAGAGGUCAGGCGUCAGGCUACUGUGUGUACUGCUUAGCUGCAAUUUGCAAUAGCUAGCUGAAAGAACCACUGUUCUGGCUGCAGAAGAACGAUAAAGUGACUAACAGAGAGAGUGGAAGGAAAGCAAAUUGGUGGUUGAAGGAACAAAUUUGUUGGUGAAGAUGUGUAACUUUUAGUUUAUACGCUUCAGACUGAAGAUUAGCUUCUGUUACUAAGGUUAGAGACAGAAAGAAGUGGUAAAAAGUUAGUAACGGUUGAUUAGAGAGGGAUUUUCUUAGUUGUUAUGAAGUAGAGCUUUUAAUUUUGAGGGUUUAAAUGUGAGAUCUGAGUUUAGCAAAGAGAGAUUUAUGGAUUCUACGGAGAUUUCAAUAAAGGGUAACGGUGGAAACGUAAGAGGAGAUUAAGGCGAGAGAGCUUCUCUUCGGGUCAUGGCGAACCCAACGACCCAAGGAACACCAUGGAAGGACAGCAAAGUCAUUCUAAUCGUCGCAUCUCUGCAAGAGAGGCUGAAACAGCGCUUUACACGGAGCUCUGGCAUGCCUGUGCUGGUCCUUUGGUAACCGUUCCUCGUGAAAAAGAGCGCGUCUUCUACUUCCCUCAGGGACACAUCGAACA